GGGCCCAUAGUCCAAUGGUAGAAUACUUCGUUUGCAACGAAGAGACCCGCGUUCGAUUCGCGGUGGGUCCA
This 71-nucleotide transfer RNA is filed under the name bacterium. RNAcentral describes it as "tRNA-Ala". It matches the Rfam family "tRNA". From Rfam's summary of the family: Transfer RNA (tRNA) molecules are approximately 80 nucleotides in length. RNAcentral also lists the same sequence under 1 other name. The record is from RNAcentral.